Molecule: ribosomal RNA, 1235 nt
Filed under: metagenome
Description: bacterial LSU rRNA
Rfam family: Bacterial large subunit ribosomal RNA
Source: RNAcentral
UGAGUACGAGAUGCUACGGCAUCGAAGCAGUCUAUGUCAUACUUCCAAGAAAAGCUUGCACUGUCAUAAACAAAGAAUGCCUGUACCAUAACCGACACAGGUGGGUAGGUAGAGUAUACUAAGGGGCGCGAGAUAACUCUCUCUAAGGAACUCGGCAAAAUGACUCCGUAACUUCGGGAGAAGGAGUGCCUUAUUUCUAAGGUUGCAAUAACAAGAUCCAAGCAACUGUUUACCAAAAACACAGGUCUCCGCUAAGUCGUAAGACGAUGUAUGGGGGCUGACGCCUGCCCAGUGCCAGAAGGUUAAAGAAGUUGGUUAGCAUUAGCGAAGCUGAUAACUGAAGCCCUGGUGAACGGCGGCCGUAACAAUAACGGUCCUAAGGUAGCGAAAUUCCUUGUCGGGUAAGUUCCGACCCGCACGAAAGGCGUAAUGAUUUGGAUACUGUCUCGGAGAGGGGCUCGGUGAAAUAGACUUGUCUGUGAAGAUGCGGACUACCUGCACCUGGACAGAAAGACCCUAUGAAGCUUUACUGUAACUUGAGAUUGAAAUUGGACUUUAUUUGCGCAGUAUAGGUGGGAGGCGUUGAGAAUAAUCUUGCGGGAUUGUUGGAGCCAUCAGUGAGAUACCACUCUUGUAAUGUUAGAUUUCUAACUUUGUAUCAUUAUCUGGUCAAAGAACAGUUUCAGGCGGGCAGUUUGACUGGGGCGGUCGCCUCCCAAAGGGUAACGGAGGCGCACAAAGGUUUCCUCUGAACGGGUAGAAAUCGUAUCUAGAGUGUAAAGGCAUAAGGAAGCUUGACUGUGAGACCUACAAGUCGAGCAGGGACGAAAGUCGGUCUUAGUGAUCUGACGGUGCUGAGUGGAAAGGCCGUCACUCAACGGAUAAAAGUUACUCUAAGGAUAACAGGCUGAUCUCCCCCAAGAGUUCACAUCGACGGGGAGGUUUGGCACCUCGAUGUCGGCUCAUCGCAUCCUGGGGCGGUAGUCCGUCCCAAGGGUUGGGCUGUUCGCCCAUGAAAGCGGUACGCGAGCUGGGUUCAGAACGUCGUGAGACAGUUCGGUCCAUAUCCGGUGUAGGCGUUAGAAUAUUGAGAGGAGCCUUCUCUAGUACGAGAGGACCGAGAAGGACAUACCUCUGGUGUACCAGUUAUCGUGCCAACGGUAAACGCUGGGUAGCUAUGUAUGGAGUGGAUAACCGCUGAAAGCAUCUAAGUGGGAAGCCCACCUCAAGAUAAG